AUGAAAGAUAGGAGCCAUGGCUUGGCACUGGGGGUGAGCUUUCUCCUCCUCCUCAUCGUCGCCGGCAUCGCGCAGAGCGACAGAGAGAAGAACAAGACCACCGUGGUGAGCCAUCUGCCUGGCUUCGAUGGCCCCCUUCCCUUCUCCCUGGAAACAGGCUAUGUGGAAGUGGACGACCGCAAUGGCGUCCGCCUCUUCUACUACUUCGUUCAGUCGGAGGCCAAUCCGGCGGAGGAUCCCGUCUUGCUCUGGCUCACCGGCGGCCCGGGGUGCUCCGCCUUCUCCGGCCUUGUCUACGAAAUCGGUCCUCUCAGCUUUCAGCCUGAUUCCUACACCGGUGGUGUGCCGGAGCUGGUGUACAGACCGGAUUCUUGGACCAAGGUUGCCAAUGUAAUCUUUCUGGAUUCCCCUGUUGGAGCUGGCUUUUCAUACUCUGCAACAGACCAAGGGUACAAGUCCUGCGACACCAAAGCCGUUGACCAAAUUGCCAUCUUCCUUACCAAGUGGUAUGAGGAGCAUCCACAGUUCUUAUCGAAUCCACUUUUCAUUGCCGGAGAUUCGUAUUCUGGUUUAAUUGCGCCACCGCUGACCUUUCAAAUUGCUAAGGGUAUAGAAAUGGGUGACAAGCCACUGCUUAAUCUGAAGGGUUAUAUCAUAGGCAACCCAUUAACGGAUCGCAAGUUCGAUUUGCCAGCCAGAGUCCCAUAUGCCCAUAGGAUGGGUCUCAUAUCUGAUGAGCAAUAUGAGACAUACAGGGAAAGUUGUGGUGCGGACACCAGUAUGAACCGAAACAUACAAUGCAAGAAUUGCCAUGAUGCGAUAGAUAAGUGUUUGAAGGGCAUAAACAUACAUCACAUCCUAGAACCCGAAUGCUCUUCUGAAUACAAUGGAAAUUCAGAUAGUGGCAGGACGCUGUUUGACUAUGGUGGUGCAGAGCUUGGCUUGUCUGAUAUUUCUUCAGAGUGCAGAGAGAAAGGAUAUAGCAUGUCCGGCAUCUGGGCAAACAACAGGUCAGUGAGAGAGGCUCUGGGUGUUCACAAGGGAACGGUUCCUUUGUGGCUAAGGUGCAACCACGGCACGCCAUACACCACCGACAUCAGGAGCAUCGUGGAGUAUCACCGGAGCGUGACCAGCAGAGGCUACCGGAGCCUGAUCUACAGCGGUGACCACGACAUGACCGUGCCUUUCAUCAGCACCCAGGCGUGGAUCCGCUCCCUCGGCUUCGCCGUCGUCGAUGAGUGGAGGCCCUGGUAUGCCACCGGCCAAGUUGCUGGGUUUACAACGUUGUACGCUAAUAACCUCACUUUUGCGACAGUCAAGGGUGGUGGUCACACUGCUCCAGAGUACAUGCCCAAGGAAUGCUUGGCCAUGGUCGAUAGAUGGCUCUCCGGCCGUCCUGUCUAA
RNAcentral lists this ribosomal RNA (1404 nucleotides) under Triticum aestivum (bread wheat). Its description in RNAcentral is "partial small subunit ribosomal RNA". The record is from RNAcentral. Lineage: Eukaryota; Viridiplantae; Streptophyta; Magnoliopsida; Poales; Poaceae.